UGGGGAUGUAGGUCAGUGGUAGAAUGCCUGCCUAGCAUGUGUGAGACCCUGGGUUCAAUCCCCAGCUCCACAA
This 73-nucleotide transfer RNA is filed under the name Marmota monax (woodchuck). Its description in RNAcentral is "tRNA.Ala". The record is from RNAcentral. Lineage: Eukaryota; Metazoa; Chordata; Mammalia; Rodentia; Sciuridae.